RNAcentral lists this ribosomal RNA (492 nucleotides) under uncultured bacterium. RNAcentral describes it as "partial 16S ribosomal RNA". It matches the Rfam family "Bacterial small subunit ribosomal RNA", at positions 29 to 507 of the family's 1533-position model. The record is from RNAcentral.
AGUGAACGCUGGCGGUAGGCCUAACACAUGCAAGUCGAACGGCAGCACAGUAAGAGCUUGCUCUUACGGGUGGCGAGUGGCGGACGGGUGAGGAAUACAUCGGAAUCUACUUUUUCGUGGGGGAUAACGUAGGGAAACUUACGCUAAUACCGCAUACGACCUACGGGUGAAAGCAGGGGAUCUUCGGACCUUGCGCGAUUGAAUGAGCCGAUGUCGGAUUAGCUAGUUGGCGGGGUAAAGGCCCACCAAGGCGACGAUCCGUAGCUGGUCUGAGAGGAUGGACAGCCACACUGGAACUGAGACACGGUCCAGACUCCUACGGGAGGAAGCAGUGGGGAAUAUUGGACAAUGGGCGCAAGCCUGAUCCAGCCAUACCGCGUGGGUGAAGAAGGCCUUCGGGUUGUAAAGCCCUUUUGUUGGGAAAGAAAAGCAGCAGGUUAAUACCCCGCUGUUCUGACGGUACCCAAAGAAUAAGCACCGGCUAACUUCGUG